Molecule: ribosomal RNA, 433 nt
Filed under: uncultured bacterium
Lineage: Bacteria
Description: partial 16S ribosomal RNA
Rfam family: Bacterial small subunit ribosomal RNA
Source: RNAcentral
AACGAACGCUGGCGGCAUGCCUAACACAUGCAAGUCGAACGAGACCUUCGGGUCUAGUGGCGCACGGGUGCGUAACGCGUGGGAACCUGCCCUUAGGUUCGGAAUAACUCCCCGAAAGGGGUGCUAAUACCGGAUAAUGUCUUCGGACCAAAGAUUUAUCGCCUUUGGAUGGGCCCGCGUUGGAUUAGCUAGUUGGUAGGGUAAAAGCCUACCAAGGCGACGAUCCAUAGCUGGUCUGAGAGGAUGAUCAGCCACACUGGGACUGAGACACGGCCCAGACUCCUACGGGAGGCAGCAGUGGGGAAUAUUGGACAAUGGGCGAAAGCCUGAUCCAGCAAUGCCGCGUGAGUGAUGAAGGCCUUAGGGUUGUAAAGCUCUUUUACCCGGGAUGAUAAUGACAGUACCGGGAGAAUAAGCUCCGGCUUACUCCGUG